AGUGAACGCUGGCGGUAGGCCUAACACAUGCAAGUCGAACGGCAGCACAGUAAGAGCUUGCUCUUACGGGUGGCGAGUGGCGGACGGGUGAGGAAUACAUCGGAAUCUACUUUUUCGUGGGGGAUAACGUAGGGAAACUUACGCUAAUACCGCAUACGACCUACGGGUGAAAGCAGGGGAUCUUCGGACCUUGCGCGAUUGCAUGAGCCGAUGUCGGAUUAGCUAGUUGGCGGGGUAAAGGCCCACCAAGGCGACGAUCCGUAGCUGGUCUGAGAGGAUGAUCAGCCACACUGGAACUGAGACACGGUCCAGACUCCUACGGGAGGCAGAAGUGGGGAAUAUUGGACAAUGGGCGCAAGCCUGAUCCAGCCAUACCGCGUGGGUGAAGAAGGCCUUCGGGUUGUAAAGCCCUUUUGUUGGGAAAGAAAAGCAGCAGGUUAAUACCCCGCUGUUCUGACGGUACCCAAAGAAUAAGCACCGGCUAACUUCGUG
This 492-nucleotide ribosomal RNA is filed under the name uncultured bacterium. RNAcentral describes it as "partial 16S ribosomal RNA". It matches the Rfam family "Bacterial small subunit ribosomal RNA", at positions 29 to 507 of the family's 1533-position model. The record is from RNAcentral.